Molecule: microRNA, 17 nt
Filed under: Corchorus capsularis
Lineage: Eukaryota; Viridiplantae; Streptophyta; Magnoliopsida; Malvales; Malvaceae
Description: sRNA CCACVL1_22592
Source: RNAcentral
AAAAACAGACACAACCU